GCGAAAGUGGCGGAAUUGGUAGACGCACUGGAUUUAGGUUCCAGCGCCGCAAGGCGUGAGAGUUCGAGUCUCUCCUUCCGCACCA
RNAcentral lists this transfer RNA (85 nucleotides) under Nitrosomonadales bacterium. RNAcentral describes it as "tRNA-Leu". It matches the Rfam family "tRNA". From Rfam's summary of the family: Transfer RNA (tRNA) molecules are approximately 80 nucleotides in length. Lineage: Bacteria; Pseudomonadati; Pseudomonadota; Betaproteobacteria; Nitrosomonadales. The record is from RNAcentral.